This 7497-nucleotide long non-coding RNA is filed under the name Nicotiana tabacum (common tobacco). Its description in RNAcentral is "long non-coding RNA (NTAB_LNC004667)". Lineage: Eukaryota; Viridiplantae; Streptophyta; Magnoliopsida; Solanales; Solanaceae. The record is from RNAcentral.
UUAAGUCAAGGGGUCAAUAAAACGUGUCAACACCAAUGAAGAAGGGUCCCAAAGGAACCAAUGGUGACAUAGAGUUUGAUACAAAUCUUAAAGGUAAAACUUUUGAGGGUCCCUUUCAGUAGAGAGGCUACUGAUGUUUGUCGUCCUCUUAUUGGUCCAUCUCACUCACAUAAACAUCAGCUUUUUGGGGAUACCAUCCUACAAUAAUGUUUUGACAUCAUUGCAUGCCUCACCCACAUGACUGCCAACACUCACAAUCCUGAACAAAUAUUCAAUUAUAGGAAGGGAAAAAAUGAUCUCUUUGAGCCACCAACCUUACACAGCUUAAAGAACAGAUAUAAAAUGUUGCAAAGAAAGCAAACUAAGUCUUUGAUGUGUCUAUAUUUUAUAUGAGAAGACAUGUGGAUUGCACAUGUGUACAUCUGGAUAGCGCCCAUAUUUAGAUAUGAUAAUAUUGAGUAGGGAAUAAAAUCUUGGAAGUGGCAUCUAACAAACCAGAGAUAUGAGAUAUGCCUGUUUCAAUUGAUAACUGAAGCAAAAAAUGGAAAAGAAUAUCAGAAACCAUGACCAUAUAGGGAAUAAUAAAGAAUAUUGCUAUCAGAGGCGGACCCAAGAUUUCAGAUAAGCGACCUCAAGGCUACCGUAAACACCUAAAUAUUCUUUAUGAUUUGUGUAGAAAACAUACUGUAUAUUCUUAAUAACUUGAAGGCAAGACUGUCAUUUUAGUUUCCACCUAAGCAAAUUCUUUUAGGCUCACACUAUAUGGGUCUGUCUUUUUGCUUUUGAUAAGCUAAAACAAAAACGACUGCUUUGACUCAACUCAAAUGAAAAAUUUCAAUUCCAAGUGAUGUCAUUUUUAUUAAUUAUUGUAUUAAUCUUCACAAACUUCUCAGAAAAAAUUUGUCUUAAUCUUCAGGAUAGAAGCUAGUCUCCCAAAACUUAUAUCUUGUUGCUAUUAACGAUUUAAACUUUGGCAAGACUUUACAAGAUUCUACUAAUUGAUAUUCUAAACACAUACACAAUUUAGCAAAUUGAACUAUUUAUAGACUUUAGGUUAAUGCAAAUGCAUACUUUCCGUUGAACUCCUAGACCUCGAUUUAAGUACCAAUCUGAGUCUCUAAAUUCCUAGAUGUCUAAAGUCCUUAAAGGUAAAGAUACAGGCAAAUAAAUCCCGACACUUAAAAAUUUCACCAUUCAUUUAUUCCUUUCACUAGAAGAAAUACAGCAGUAGGUAACAUCUCAAAACUCAAUAAUCAGAAACAGACACAAAAUCAAUCAACUUCUCCAAAAUCCCGUGUUAGAAUAUUUGAAUGAUAGCCUAUGAAACAGUUCCCAAAUCACUGGAUUCAACAAAAUCAUGAAGGCAUUCAAAAAUUGGCUAAAUAUACCAAAGAUAAUGACCUAAGGACUACUAAGCUUUACCUAUUCGAUACUUCAGAAAAACAAUGUCACUGCAUAGCCGAUGCUCGAAGCAGGGAGAUGCGGUAGCAGACUGUUGAACUAAACAUAACACAAAAUUUGGACAUCUGUGUUUUCUUUUCUUUCUUUUUCCUUUUUGAAAGUUUUAGAUGCCUUAGAGAGAAAAGGGCCGGGGCCAGGGGGAGUGGGAGGGAGAAAGGCGGCUGGGGACAUUAAAAUUGAAAAUGAAAAAACCAAAGGUUCCAAUGUAUUAGAAUGCACGAUAUAAGCCCAACGGCUGAACUCCUUUGCCAGCAUUUCGAAAUCCGCCUGUGUUCAGUGGACCUUGUACAGAGUAAAUUUUUUCCCAAAACGGAUUAGAUUAAACCUCCUUCGAUACAACGAGGGUCCGAUCUGAUAGCUAUACUAUAUGUUUUAAGCCAAACAUAUCAUCCCAGACAAGACAAUUGUUUUAGGUUUCAUUUUUUCAUCAGCAAACACAAGUUGUCGAUGCAGAAACAAAAGCAAAGACACUACAGUACCAGGGGAAUAUGUCCGAAUGAACAAUAUAGAACCUUACGAAGCCUAUUCAAUAAAACAUUCCACAUAUACUACUAAACCCCUAUGGAAAAUGGUCAUGAAAACAAGUUCCAGUAGCACAUAUAUAUCUAAACUACUUGUGAAGAAUAAGAAAAAGACGUGUAUUGAUGACAAGAAAUUUUGAUGAAUAAACCUACUUAUAGGUCUCAAACAAAAUACAAUAUAAUAUUCGUUCAAUAUAGGACGUUGCUAAAUUAGAACUUAACACUUUGAACAUUUUCAACAUGCCUCCAACAAAACCAAAGCCAAGCUUCAGGUGCUGAGGCAACCGACAGAGCAGAAUUGGCGCCUCACCAGACUUCAGUCGAGGUGCUGCAUAAAAGCGAUUAACAAGCGCACACCUGGGUUAAGGCACAAGGCCUUUAGCAUGUGCAUCUUUCAAGCCAAAAAAGGGGGGUUUGGGGGGGGAUUAGGAUCCAGGAAAGGAAAAGGAAAUCUUCUGCAGGAGCAAAAGAGACAAACUCAUGAGACUUGAGAAGACAAUAGAGAACAAACAACUUGAGAAGAUCAUCAACGAUCUCAAACGGAAGAAGUGCAGGAAAGAGAGAUCUUCACAGAAUUCUUCUUUCUUCUAAUUCCUUUCUUUAUUUUUUUCUUUUGGUAAACAUUAGACUGCCUGCAUCUUUUUUUUCCUCUAUUUCUUUUCUUUUCUCUAUUGGGGAAAAUAGAGAAUCAAGUUCUGCUGCUAAGCCUCCAUUUCUUGUUUUCUUCUUCUCCUAGUGCGCUUCUUCUUUCUAUGGCCUGUGGAAGCCUCUGUCAUUUUUUUUUUCUUUUCGGGAAAGAGAUAACUAUUUAUAGUUAAGAGACAUAAAGUGAUUUGUCUUUUGAUGAUAAUCAGAAAACUCAAAAAACUUAAUUAAUAUACACCAAGAUGGUGUUAGGUUUAUUAUAAAAACAUUAAAUAGAAGGAUGCAUAAGCUCCCCAAGAACCAAGCUAAUCGUCUAUACAGUAAGGAACUUCCUGUUUAGACCAAAAGAGCACUAGGAAAAACAGAGGAUUAUAAUUUAACAAUGAAUGUCCAGUUCCCUCAAACGUUAUCAUACUCCUCUCUCUCUGCAUUUCUAGAAAUUUAUUGCACGGAGCGGUUCUCCAUAACUUUCUCCUAUCACAUUUAGCUUAUCCAAUCUCCAACUCACCAGUACUCUUUUCUCGAGAAAAAAACAAUGGAUGUUGAAAAUGAAGAACAUCAUGGCUCAUAGUUUUGUUGCAGACUUACAAUAGGUGAUCCACGCGUUCAUCAUGAUUUUUACACGUGAACACCAAUUGACCACUAUGCAUCUCCUUCUUCUUGGGUUGUUAAAAUUGGCUUUGAACUCAAGUAAGGUCGUUGAGUUGUUAAAAUUGCUCUCGACAUUGCAUACCAUGUAAAAAGUACCUCUUAGGUACCUCCAUUUUCCAUGUUGUUGACCAAAUGGAUAUUGUACACCUUCAUCAAGUAAGAAGUUAUAGAUGUCGUCAUGUCGUUACUUAAAAACAUUUUCAUUAGGAGCUAAAUUUGGAUUAGUAUAUAAAAGAUUUGGACUAGAGCAAGAAACUAGGUUAAAAUAAGUAUUAGGUUAGAGUGGAAUGAGAAUUUGAGAGUGAGCAGAGAAGUAGGAUUCCAAUCCUAAACCUAAACCUAAUAUAGGAGCAAGUGAAGAAUUAGGAUCCCAAUUUAACCCAAACCAUAGACGUAGUCCUUAUUCUAAUCUAAGUCCUAAUCCAAGUCCUUGUAGUAACACAGGUCUAAAUCCUAAACCUAAUAUUUGUUCCUAAUUCUAGCACCCAGUUCUACUUCUAAUUCUGAUCCUACUACUAUCAUGGGAAACUUACUCUAUUCAUCAGCUUCAGCUUUAGAAAAGCAGCUAUUUGGUCUGAAUGGAGCUCCAAACAAACUUGGUUCCAAAAGACAGCAUGACCCACAAAUAAUUACAGGACCAAAGCCGAUAAAAUCAGCACAUGUGAUACUAUGUGUGACUAAAGAUAAAAAAGUCAAAUUUUCUGAAGAUGGAAUUUCUCUCAUUCAUAAUGUUGUAACAUAGCCAUAGUUUCAUUUGGAGGCAGAAGCCAAUAUGGUAACCAACUACCCAUAUGGCAUUGUUUCAUGGAAUGUGAUUCACUCAAGAAUGAAUAUUAAUCUUCAAAAAAUGGAGUUUAGGCCUAUCUUAACUCCAAAAGCUAGCUAUGAGAAUUGCCCAAGCCCAUAAAAGGAGACAACAGUCCUUUCUCUCAACCAAUAUGGAAAAUUCUGACACUGCACCCUCCACCUAUGCCCCAGACCUGAACAUUGUGGAUAACAUAACAUGGGGGCCCAACAUUGAGAAACACAACAAUAAAGAUGAGUUUGGCUCUAAUACCAUGUAAAGAAAAUGGACCUUGGGCCUAAUUCAAUCUCAAAAGCUAGCUCAUGAGAUGAGAAUUGUCCCAAACCAAACAAGGAGAGAACAAUGUACUCCUUCAACGAAUAUCUAACAGAAACAAGAAAAGCACAUCUAUUUAAUGGCUUGUUAAUAUGAAUCCUAAUAGCAAUUACAACGAAAGUGUGAUGCGCCUCAUGUAUUAACAAAUAUUGACUAGAGCCAUUUCAAACCUUAAUUUCAUAUCAUGUAUAUGAAAGGAGAAAGAAAAAUAUAUAUCUUUGUUUCUUUAGGAACAAGCUCUGAGUGAGGUGACAUAACAAAUGUUAAGAUAUUUGAAAGAAAAAAAUUUAGUUGGGUGUUUGAUAUAUAAUCAAGUUAUAGUAUAUCAAAUAUACUCAAAGGGAAAGAGUAGCAUAUUCUCUUUAAAAGAUAUUUGAAAGAGAAGGAAGACCAAAGAACAUGAGGACCCAUACCUCAUGCAUGCUAAAAAGGUCUAAGAACGUAUAUUAAUAAUAUAGAUAAAUGAGAAAGUGAGGAUGAAGAAGCAAAAGUCUAUUUCUAUCCUAUGAGGCGGGGACAAGGGCACAAUUGUUUAAGGAACAAAAUAAAGCUGUAACAGAUAUAGGAAUGUCAUAAUUAUGAGACUGAGGUGGGAUAGUCAUUGUGAAGCGGUGUGCAUGAUUUAAAAAAUGAUGCAAAACAAAAGUAAAAUGCACCCUUGCCUGACACCAAAAGAUUUUUUAGCAUCAAGAGGGGGAUUUUUUCAUUAACUUAUUCUCCACCCCACCACUCCAAUCUUCCAUUAGUGAAAUGCGGUAAUUCAAACCACCCGACCUUUCCAAUCUUCUAUCCUGUGAACCAUCACGUGGAAUGGUACUAUUACCUCAAUCCUUGAAGGUCCAGAUGCAGCAGCUCCUAACUCCCAUCAGGGCUAACCACCUCCUAAUAACACAGAAAUUGUUAGCACUGUCACACCUACUCUGCAACUUCAUAAUACCAUGGUAAAGAAGUUUUCAGCUGUAAACCCCUAGAGACAAAAUUCUCAACCCCGUGGAUUUGGCAAUAAAAUACUUUGAGAUUCAUCAAGUACCUAAUACUAUGAAGAUAAGCUAUAUCCGGAUAGAUAUAAAAGGGGGGAUCCACCGAUAGUUUGACAGUUCUAUGAUAGAUUAUGGUGGGUAAUUUGUACGAAGACAUCAUUUGUGAUGUUUAUAGAAGGUCUGGAAACACUAGAUUUCUGGAUAGAGAUUGACAAAUUCAGUGAGCUCAGUAGGCCAAUGACGUGGAAGCUUAUCUAUAGAAGUUUGAAGAACUGAGGUCUUACAUGCUCAUUAAAAGACCCUUCAUUCAUGUGAAUCCAAUUCCUGUUUCAAUUAGAGACUAAUGCCUAGGAUAUUUAACCUAAUAGUACCUAUAAAAAAGAUAAGGAUAUCUAAUCCAACAAUUCUAACAGAUCGUAAGAAGGAGCAAAGUAGCACGAGGAAUCUAUCAAUGGGAUUAACAAACUUCUACUCCAUAGUCCAAUUACCCUCCAAUAACAAAUCUGAACACCAAGCACCUACACAACGGUUCCUCAGCCAUAUUUCCAUACUAUCGAGUCUUCCACUUACAAACCUUUUCAACUUUCUGUAACCUUACAUACAAUCGACCAAGAGAAUAGAAGUUAGAAGUACUUUAUCGAUGCAAGCAAAAACCCCUCAAUGCCAAUGAAGGAGGGGAUAGCAGAAAAUAUUGGGGAGGUUGAUGCAGAGGCAAUUCAAGAGAGCGUGACACUGAAUGGUGUCCACGGGUGUCAAAUUCCCCCAUGACCAUCCAAAUUGUUCGAACCACUAAGAGGUGGGCAUAAAAGCAGCUCAAAUUCAGGGUUAUUCUUGGCAAUAUGGCCAUGCAAGUUACUACGGGCAAUGAUCACAUUCACAGGACCUUAUGGUCAAAAAUUCAGUAAAUAUGUGUCAAUAAUAGCUUUCUAGAAAACAAUACGCACUUAUACAAGAAGCUGACCCACUUGAAAAUAAUGCAAACUAUACAUCAACUUGGGAGAAGACGUAAAACCUUAGAACGCACACAGCCCUAGAGCCAAACCUAAACAGGCAAUAGGCUGACACAUGACUUAUACCAUCAGCUACAAUCGAACUUGUUGAGAUAUGCAAGGUGAAUCUUUCAUUUUCAAUUUCAGAAUGCAUAAGGUUAACCUCAAGUUAGAAAUGGAUUGAUUGACCUCUAUUCCCCGAUUAUGUUAGACUUGUGACGUAACCAAGUGUCCUUCUGGUGAUGAUAAGGGAGAAUCAACGGGUACUAGGUGGGCUCACAGAAGGAAAUGGCUGCUUAAACUUUUUCAGCAAUGUGUUAUUCAAGUGUUCUCCAUUGCAACAGCCAACAAGUAUAUAAACUCUAUGAACUGACGGAGUAAAAAAGAUUUACACAAUGAAGUCACUUAAAAGGCAACAGCAGGUAGCUCUCUACACAAACAUAAAUUAGUAACCUUAAGAAAAUGGAAAGCAAUCUUCUAUAAGGUGAAAGUACACUGAUAAUGUAAAAUAUGUUUACACUGUAAGGGCAUAUAACUUAAACUCUUGCAACAAAGCUGAACAAAGAGAAUCCCCUAUAAUCUGUUUGAUUUCUAGUUUGUUAGAGUCAGUUAAAACUUAAAAAGAAUUUCUAGCUGGAGCAUGUCAGCUCUCGGCUCCAUAAAUUGAGGUUACAAUCACACGAACUUCCAUUUUAGCUUCUUAUAAUUGUUCCUUAUUUCUUUUACUCGCAAUCAGUAAUCACAAGUUCACAACAAUCACGUAUCCAUAUUGCUUCAUAAAUUCAUCCAUAAACAUUAAACUAAUGAGAUAAAAUAGAAUUUACCAUUUGUUGGUUCGGUUUCUGCUGAUUGAGGAAUUACAACUGAGGAACAACGACAUCAGUUAUCAACACUUUACCCCGUGUAAACACCUUAAAAUUGUAUCAUUUGCUUCUUAGAUUGCUCCAGUUUGGAGAGAGCGGCUGUUAUUGAACAACUUUUUUGGCUUUUUUUCUCGUUUUCUGAACUAAAAUGCGUUUUUCUUCGUUAAUGGCAUGAGGCCCAUUGCCCAAUUGUUGAGCGAUUGAUUCUGUUUUCAUUUUUCCUUCUUUCUUUUUUUUUUAGCCGCCAACCCCAUCGUUUGGUUUUAG